Molecule: long non-coding RNA, 299 nt
Organism: Lampris incognitus (smalleye Pacific opah)
Lineage: Eukaryota; Metazoa; Chordata; Actinopteri; Lampriformes; Lampridae
Exons: 3
Source: RefSeq, a predicted model, not a curated record
ACUCGAACCCAGGACCUUCUUGCUCAAGAAGACUUUGACAUAGGGGUCUGAGGUGCCCCCCAUGUCCAUGGCAGCAAGAUCCUGAGCCUGGAGGAUGCCCACUAUGAGCUGUUUAAAGAGGGAAAACAGAGCUUUAGGAGGAGAAGAUGGAGGCUCAGAUAUUACAUAACAACAACAGCAGAAGUUCUGUCUGCAUUUCUUGAAGACACAGAAGAUGAAGCAUCCCACCAGAGUCAGUACCACCACAACGAUGGCCCCCACCGCCCACAUGGGGACUGGGAGAGAGAAAAGGCCAAGGU